ACCCCCCUCUAUGCACCCUGUGUGUGUGGGACUUGUCGGCUGAGCCUUCGGGCCCUCCGAUCAAAUGCAGUAGGUUUGUGCCGGGCUGGUGGCCUGGGACAUUGUGUGCUAGAGACUGUUGUCUUCUCACAGUGCGUCCCGGGUCAAUCAAGCUGGUCUGGUGGCGGGCCUCCUUGCUAAAGGUUUAGAAUGUGUUGUGUAGUGGUAGGCAACCGUCGUCACUAUGCGCUUACAUCCUAACCUUUAUCACCCUUCUCU
RNAcentral lists this unclassified non-coding RNA (258 nucleotides) under uncultured Sordariomycetes. RNAcentral's name for it is "sequence contains ITS2". Lineage: Eukaryota; Fungi; Ascomycota; Sordariomycetes. The record is from RNAcentral.